This 2891-nucleotide ribosomal RNA is filed under the name Pseudomonas syringae pv. berberidis. Its description in RNAcentral is "bacterial LSU rRNA". It matches the Rfam family "Bacterial large subunit ribosomal RNA". Lineage: Bacteria; Pseudomonadati; Pseudomonadota; Gammaproteobacteria; Pseudomonadales; Pseudomonadaceae. The record is from RNAcentral.
UCAAGUGAAGAAGCGCAUACGGUGGAUGCCUUGGCAGUCAGAGGCGAUGAAAGACGUGGUAGCCUGCGAAAAGCUUCGGGGAGUCGGCAAACAGACUGUGAUCCGGAGAUGUCUGAAUGGGGGAACCCAGCCAUCAUAAGAUGGUUAUCUUACACUGAAUACAUAGGUGUAAGAGGCGAACCAGGGGAACUGAAACAUCUAAGUACCCUGAGGAAAAGAAAUCAACCGAGAUUCCCUUAGUAGUGGCGAGCGAACGGGGACCAGCCCUUAAGUUGUAUUGAGAUUAGCGGAACGCUCUGGAAAGGGCGGCCAUAGUGGGUGAUAGCCCUGUACGCGAAAAUCCCUUUGCAAUGAAAUCGAGUAGGACGGGGCACGAGAAACCUUGUCUGAAUAUGGGGGGACCAUCCUCCAAGGCUAAAUACUACUGACUGACCGAUAGUGAACCAGUACCGUGAGGGAAAGGCGAAAAGAACCGCGGAGAGCGGAGUGAAAUAGAUCCUGAAACCGUAUGCGUACAAGCAGUGGGAGCCCACUUUGUUGGGUGACUGCGUACCUUUUGUAUAAUGGGUCAGCGACUUAUUUUCAGUGGCGAGCUUAACCGAAUAGGGGAGGCGUAGCGAAAGCGAGUCUUAAUAGGGCGUCUAGUCGCUGGGAAUAGACCCGAAACCGGGCGAUCUAUCCAUGGGCAGGUUGAAGGUUGGGUAACACUAACUGGAGGACCGAACCGACUACCGUUGAAAAGUUAGCGGAUGACCUGUGGAUCGGAGUGAAAGGCUAAUCAAGCUCGGAGAUAGCUGGUUCUCCUCGAAAGCUAUUUAGGUAGCGCCUCAUGUAUCACUGUAGGGGGUAGAGCACUGUUUCGGCUAGGGGGUCAUCCCGACUUACCAAACCGAUGCAAACUCCGAAUACCUACAAGUGCCGAGCAUGGGAGACACACGGCGGGUGCUAACGUCCGUCGUGAAAAGGGAAACAACCCAGACCGUCAGCUAAGGUCCCAAAGUCAUGGUUAAGUGGGAAACGAUGUGGGAAGGCUUAGACAGCUAGGAGGUUGGCUUAGAAGCAGCCACCCUUUAAAGAAAGCGUAAUAGCUCACUAGUCGAGUCGGCCUGCGCGGAAGAUGUAACGGGGCUCAAACCAUGCACCGAAGCUACGGGUAUCACCUUUGGUGAUGCGGUAGAGGAGCGUUCUGUAAGCCUGUGAAGGUGAGUUGAGAAGCUUGCUGGAGGUAUCAGAAGUGCGAAUGCUGACAUGAGUAACGACAAUGGGUGUGAAAAACACCCACGCCGAAAGACCAAGGUUUCCUGCGCAACGUUAAUCGACGCAGGGUUAGUCGGUCCCUAAGGCGAGGCUGAAAAGCGUAGUCGAUGGAAAACAGGUUAAUAUUCCUGUACUUCUGGUUAUUGCGAUGGAGGGACGGAGAAGGCUAGGCCAGCCUGGCGUUGGUAGUCCAGGUUUAAGGUGGUAGGCUGAGAUCUUAGGUAAAUCCGGGAUCUUAAGGCCGAGAGCUGAUGACGAGUGUUCUUUUAGAACAUGAAGUGGUUGAUGCCAUGCUUCCAAGAAAAGCUUCUAAGCUUCAGGUAACCAGGAACCGUACCCCAAACCGACACAGGUGGUUGGGUAGAGAAUACCAAGGCGCUUGAGAGAACUCGGGUGAAGGAACUAGGCAAAAUGGCACCGUAACUUCGGGAGAAGGUGCGCCGGUGAGGGUGAAGCAUUUACUGCGUAAGCCCACGCCGGUCGAAGAUACCAGGCCGCUGCGACUGUUUAUUAAAAACACAGCACUCUGCAAACACGAAAGUGGACGUAUAGGGUGUGACGCCUGCCCGGUGCCGGAAGGUUAAUUGAUGGGGUUAGCGCAAGCGAAGCUCUUGAUCGAAGCCCCGGUAAACGGCGGCCGUAACUAUAACGGUCCUAAGGUAGCGAAAUUCCUUGUCGGGUAAGUUCCGACCUGCACGAAUGGCGUAACGAUGGCGGCGCUGUCUCCACCCGAGACUCAGUGAAAUUGAAAUCGCUGUGAAGAUGCAGUGUAUCCGCGGCUAGACGGAAAGACCCCGUGAACCUUUACUAUAGCUUUGCACUGGACUUUGAAUUUGCUUGUGUAGGAUAGGUGGGAGGCUUUGAAGCGUGGACGCCAGUCUGCGUGGAGCCAACCUUGAAAUACCACCCUGGCAACUUUGAGGUUCUAACUCAGGUCCGUUAUCCGGAUCGAGGACAGUGUAUGGUGGGUAGUUUGACUGGGGCGGUCUCCUCCUAAAGAGUAACGGAGGAGUACGAAGGUGCGCUCAGACCGGUCGGAAAUCGGUCGUAGAGUAUAAAGGCAAAAGCGCGCUUGACUGCGAGACAGACACGUCGAGCAGGUACGAAAGUAGGUCUUAGUGAUCCGGUGGUUCUGUAUGGAAGGGCCAUCGCUCAACGGAUAAAAGGUACUCCGGGGAUAACAGGCUGAUACCGCCCAAGAGUUCAUAUCGACGGCGGUGUUUGGCACCUCGAUGUCGGCUCAUCACAUCCUGGGGCUGAAGCCGGUCCCAAGGGUAUGGCUGUUCGCCAUUUAAAGUGGUACGCGAGCUGGGUUUAGAACGUCGUGAGACAGUUCGGUCCCUAUCUGCCGUGGACGUUUGAGAUUUGAGAGGGGCUGCUCCUAGUACGAGAGGACCGGAGUGGACGAACCUCUGGUGUUCCGGUUGUCACGCCAGUGGCAUUGCCGGGUAGCUAUGUUCGGAAAAGAUAACCGCUGAAAGCAUCUAAGCGGGAAACUUGCCUCAAGAUGAGAUCUCACUGGAACCUUGAGUUCCCUGAAGGGCCGUCGAAGACUACGACGUUGAUAGGUUGGGUGUGUAAGCGCUGUGAGGCGUUGAGCUAACCAAUACUAAUUGCCCGUGAGGCUUGACCAU